Molecule: ribosomal RNA, 1390 nt
Filed under: uncultured marine bacterium
Lineage: Bacteria
Description: bacterial SSU rRNA
Rfam family: Bacterial small subunit ribosomal RNA
Source: RNAcentral
GAGUUUGAUCCUGGCUCAGGAUGAACGCUAGCGGCAGGCCUAACACAUGCAAGUCGAGGGGUAACAUAGAAAAGCUUGCUUUUCUGAUGACGACCGGCGAACGGGUGCGUAACGCGUAUGCAACCUGCCCUAUACUGAAAGAUAGCCCGAAGAAAUUCGGAUUAAUAUUUCAUAACAAUUAUUAAUCGCAUGAUUUAUAAUUUAAAGGUUACGGUAUAGGAUGGGCAUGCGUCCCAUUAGCUUGAUGGUAAGGUAACGGCUUACCAUGGCAACGAUGGGUAGGGGGCCUGAGAGGGUGAUCCCCCACACUGGUACUGAGACACGGACCAGACUCCUACGGGAGGCAGCAGUGAGGAAUAUUGGUCAAUGGAGGCAACUCUGAACCAGCCAUGCCGCGUGCAGGAAGAAUGCCCUACGGGUUGUAAACUGCUUUUAUAUAGGAAUAAACCUUUCUACGUGUAGAAAGCUGAAGGUACUAUAAGAAUAAGGAUCGGCUAACUCCGUGCCAGCAGCCGCGGUAAUACGGAGGAUCCAAGCGUUAUCCGGAAUCAUUGGGUUUAAAGGGUCCGUAGGUGGACAAAUAAGUCAGAGGUGAAAUCCUGCAGCUCAACUGUAGAACUGCCUUUGAUACUGUUUGUCUUGAGUUAUUAUGAAGUGGUUAGAAUGUGUAGUGUAGCGGUGAAAUGCAUAGAUAUUACACAGAAUACCGAUUGCGAAGGCAGAUCACUAAUAAUUAACUGACACUGAGGGACGAAAGCGUGGGUAGCGAACAGGAUUAGAUACCCUGGUAGUCCACGCCGUAAACGAUGGUCACUAGCUGUUUGGACUUCGGUCUGAGUGGCUAAGCGAAAGUGAUAAGUGACCCACCUGGGGAGUACGUUCGCAAGAAUGAAACUCAAAGGAAUUGACGGGGGCCCGCACAAGCGGUGGAGCAUGUGGUUUAAUUCGAUGAUACGCGAGGAACCUUACCAGGGCUUAAAUGUUAGGUGACAGAUUUAGAAAUAGAUUUUUCUUCGGACACUUAACAAGGUGCUGCAUGGUUGUCGUCAGCUCGUGCCGUGAGGUGUCAGGUUAAGUCCUAUAACGAGCGCAACCCCUGUUGUUAGUUGCCAGCGAGUAAUGUCGGGAACUCUAGCAAGACUGCCAGUGCAAACUGUGAGGAAGGUGGGGAUGACGCCAAAUCAUCACGGCCCUUACGUCCUGGGCUACACACGUGCUACAAUGGUAGGUACAGAGAGCAGCCAAUGCGCGAGCAUGAGCAAAUCUAUAAAACCUAUCUCAGUUCGGAUCGGAGUCUGCAACUCGACUCCGUGAAGCUGGAAUCGCUAGUAAUCGGAUAUCAGCCAUGAUCCGGUGAAUACGUUCCCGGGCCUUGUACUCACCGCCCGUC